This 745-nucleotide long non-coding RNA is filed under the name Macaca mulatta (Rhesus monkey). RNAcentral's name for it is "lncRNA (ENSMMUG00000064027.1)". Lineage: Eukaryota; Metazoa; Chordata; Mammalia; Primates; Cercopithecidae. The record is from RNAcentral.
ACCCACAAUGUACAAGGCACUUAUUUUCAGUAUGAUGCACCUGGCACUGCCAAAAUCAUACUCAUUUAGGAUAGACACAAUUACUAGCUAGGAAAACUGAGGCACUGAGCAGUUAAUCAACUUGCCCCAGGCUCCAUAGAUAAACAGUCAGUAUAGAGCUGGGGUCUCAACACAGCUGGCUCCCUCCAUAGUGUGGGCUUAUAGCCACUGGCUGUCCCACUACCCUUGUCCAGGCACGGCUCUCUGGGGUGCAGUGUGUGCCUUUGGGCUACAGUUGAAUGACCAGUUGCCUCUUCCAGGCUGGCUCCCAUACCUCUCCUGGCAACAGCUUCUUAAAUCCCAGAAACUGAAAACAGUGUGGUAAAUGGGCCUUGGAGAAUGGAGGCAAGGGUGUGGUGCUCAGCACUUCUAGGUCACAACAUAGUCUGUGUUCCUGGCCCUCCCCUUGUAACAGAGGCACCUCCAUCCCUGGCUGAUGAGUUCCUGCAUCUCUAAUUUCUCCUCAGCCUGGACUGCAGAGGGUGAAGCCCUCCCAGGAGCUGACCAGGGAGCUGACCUAAAGGGCAGGCCAGCACGUGCUACAGGGACAUCUGAGAGAGGCUCAAGCUCUGCAGUCAGGUGUUUUUCCAUGGAUUCCUAGGCUCCCCUCCUGGACAGCACCAGGAAUGUGGCCUUCCAGGGUAGGGAAAGGGCAGACCUGGCUGAGCAGAGCCACACCCAGCCACACCCCAUGGGUCAAUCACUG